Long non-coding RNA from Octopus sinensis (East Asian common octopus), 180 nucleotides. RefSeq lists it as uncharacterized. The record is from RefSeq and is a predicted model, not a curated record. Lineage: Eukaryota; Metazoa; Mollusca; Cephalopoda; Octopoda; Octopodidae. The transcript has 3 exons.
CUUGGAAGGAAGAACCUUCCCGAUAUAAACUGAUGAUAAACCAUUAACCUACGCAUUACUAUCCAAAGCAGAUAAAUAUUCCCCAAGAGACAUUAGACACCUUGAUUAUAUUUCAUAGUUUACUGUGGCUAUAUGUCAUAAGAAGGGUGCUGAACAUUUUGUUACUAUUUUAACCGGAAA